This 45-nucleotide non-coding RNA is filed under the name Schistosoma mansoni. RNAcentral also lists the same sequence under 2 other names. Lineage: Eukaryota; Metazoa; Platyhelminthes; Trematoda; Strigeidida; Schistosomatidae. The record is from RNAcentral.
AUCCAGCUGACGGGUCCCAAACAGGACGAAACGCGCGUCCUGGAU